UCCUCCAUGGUCCAACGGCUAGGAUCCGUCGCUUUCACCGACGUGGCCCGGGUUCGACUCCCGGUGGGGGAG
Non-coding RNA from Fimicolochytrium jonesii, 72 nucleotides. Lineage: Eukaryota; Fungi; Chytridiomycota; Chytridiomycetes; Spizellomycetales; Powellomycetaceae. The record is from the annotation of a RefSeq genome assembly.